RNAcentral lists this transfer RNA (73 nucleotides) under Callianthe megapotamica. RNAcentral's name for it is "Abutilon megapotamicum tRNA-Glu". Lineage: Eukaryota; Viridiplantae; Streptophyta; Magnoliopsida; Malvales; Malvaceae. The record is from RNAcentral.
GAGUAUAAAUCAUGAAUCAAAACAAAAAUGGAAAAUCAUAAAAGAUGGAAAAGGCUUUCGGAUCUAGUCAUUC